GGAUAUUGCGCAAUGGGCGCAAGCCUGACGCAGCAACGCCGCGUGCGGGAGGACGGCCUUCGGGUUGUAAACCGCUUUACGAGGGGAAGAGACAGGACGGUACCCUCGCAAUCAGUCUCGGCUAACUACGUCCCAGCCGCCGCGGUAAAACGUAGGAGGCGAGCGUUAUCCGGCUUUACUGGGUGUAAGGCGCGUGCAGGCGGUCUGGUAAGUCGCGCGUGAAAGCGCCCAGGCUCAACCGGGCGAGGCCGCGCGACACUGCGAGACUGGAGACAGGUAGAGGCGUGUGGAAUUCCGGGUGUAGUGGUGAAAUGCGUAGAGAUCCGGAGGAACACCAGUGGCGAAGGCGACACGCUGGGCCUGGUCUGACGCUCAGACGCGAAAGCAUGGGGAGCGAACGGG
Molecule: ribosomal RNA, 402 nt
Filed under: uncultured bacterium
Lineage: Bacteria
Description: bacterial SSU rRNA
Rfam family: Bacterial small subunit ribosomal RNA
Source: RNAcentral